This 317-nucleotide ribosomal RNA is filed under the name Kryptolebias marmoratus (mangrove rivulus). RNAcentral describes it as "partial 12S ribosomal RNA". It matches the Rfam family "Bacterial small subunit ribosomal RNA", at positions 875 to 1360 of the family's 1533-position model. The record is from RNAcentral. Lineage: Eukaryota; Metazoa; Chordata; Actinopteri; Cyprinodontiformes; Rivulidae.
GAAGAUUACAAGCAUAAGCUCAAAACUCAAAGGACUUGGCGGCGCUUUAAACCCAUCUAGAGGAGCCUGUCCUAUAACCGAUAAUCCCCGUUAAACCUUACCUUCUCUUGCUCCCAGCCUAUAUACCGCCGUCGUCAGCCCACCCUGUGAAGGCCCACUAGUAGGCAAAACUGGUCCAGCCCAAAACGUCAGGUCGAGGUGUAGCAUAUGAGAAGGAAAGAGAUGGGCUACAUUUCCUACACAGGGAACCACGGAUAGUACAAUGAAAUGUGUACAUUGAAGAAGGAUUUAGCAGUAAGUAAAAAAUAGAGUGUUUU